AUAAAGGCAACGUUUUAAAGUUUUACAGUAGUACUUCUGUCGUUAUAAGUAGGAAUAAUUUCAUACAGUUCUCUAUAGACAUAUCGAAUAAUAGAUAUAUUCCAACAAAGUUUAAGUUUUCAGAUUCAAUAAUAUUUAUAUUUGUCUCCCUGUUUUGUUACUGUUAGCUCAUUAUUUAUUUUUUUAAUUAGCAGAAGAUAAAUAAAAUAUCAAUUUUGUCAUUAUAAAUAUAUCUCUCGAAAAAUACUAACUUUUAGAAUCAUACAGAAAAUAUCUUCUAAAAAAUCCCCAAUUGCCAUUUUCUUCCUCCAUAAAAACUAACUCAAUCUAUUAUUGUUACAACAUCUUCAUUAUCUCUUCUCUCCCUCAUUUUCUCCUUUACCUAUCUAUUACUGAUUCUCUGGCGCUCGACAUGGGGAAACAAUACGAGUCGUGGAUGAAUGGGGACCAGGAAACCCUAGUUAUAGGUUCGAAAAUAGCAAGAAUGAGAGAGAGGAAGAGGAAGAUGAAGAGGAAGAAGAGUUUCCAUUGUUAGGUUUUGCUAGAACUAGGGUUUUGAUUGAGAUAAAAAAAAGUAUAAUACCAGAGAGAUAAAAAAGUCAAUUUACCUCACUAACCAAGAUUAAGUAUUUUAUCUAUCAUUAACUAUAUUUCUAAUAAACACUAACAACAAGGGUAUAUUUAAAACCAUUAUGACUUUUGAGCGAUAAAUAUGAAAACUUAAACUUUGUAAGAGCUUAUCUGCUAUAUGAUAUGUUUAUAGGGAGCUGUAUAAAAUUAUCACUCAUAAGUAUUCUUAGAG
RNAcentral lists this long non-coding RNA (802 nucleotides) under Ananas comosus (pineapple). RNAcentral's name for it is "long non-coding RNA (ACOM_LNC014609)". Lineage: Eukaryota; Viridiplantae; Streptophyta; Magnoliopsida; Poales; Bromeliaceae. The record is from RNAcentral.